Molecule: long non-coding RNA, 400 nt
Filed under: Volvox carteri
Lineage: Eukaryota; Viridiplantae; Chlorophyta; Chlorophyceae; Chlamydomonadales; Volvocaceae
Description: long non-coding RNA (VCAR_LNC001193)
Source: RNAcentral
AUGUCAAGCAUUGUUUAGUCAAUGGCAGGUGUUCUCGCGAGCUGUUCGGCGGUUCUCGCGACUUGGUGCAUGCCGCCGUUAAGCUUGAUCUGAACUUGCGAGUUGGUGUUGGGAAGGACUGACCCGGGCUGCUGCUUUAUGCACAAUUGCAAAUGGACGCCGCACAGUCGACCCGUUGAACAGAUUUGUCAGUUGGUAAAUAUAUUUAUAUCGAUUAAACAUGGUAAGAUGACGGACCAUGCAUCGCCUAUUAAUCAUUACGUACCUGUACGCUCGGCUCCUGCUGCUGAGACCAAAUGACAAAAACGACCUUAAAUUAAAACAGCAAAAUGUUAUCGAGAUUAAAUUACUUGAAUUAAUUUCAGGGUUGCUAACAAUUUGCGGUUUCUGCGUGAGGUUU